This 510-nucleotide ribosomal RNA is filed under the name uncultured bacterium. Its description in RNAcentral is "partial 16S ribosomal RNA". It matches the Rfam family "Bacterial small subunit ribosomal RNA", at positions 28 to 507 of the family's 1533-position model. The record is from RNAcentral.
GACGAACGCUGGCGGCGUGCUUAACACAUGCAAGUCGAACGAAGAGCGAUGGACGCUUGCUUCUAUCAAUCUUAGUGGCGCACGGGUGAGUAACGCGUAAUCAACCUGCCCUUCAGAGGGGGACAACAGUUGGAAACGACUGCUAAUACCGCAUACGAUCUAACCUCGGCAUCGAGGAAAGAUGAAAGGUGGCCUCUAUGUAUAAGCUAUCACUGAAGGAGGGGAUUGCGUCUGAUUAGCUAGUUGGAGGGGUAACGGCCCACCAAGGCGAUGAUCAGUAGCCGGUCUGAGAGGAUGGACGGCCACAUUGGGACUGAGACACGGCCCAGACUCCUACGGGAGGCAGCAGUGGGGAAUCUUCCGCAAUGGACGAAAGUCUGACGGAGCAACGCCGCGUGAGUGAUGACGGCCUUCGGGUUGUAAAGCUCUGUUAAUCGGGACGAAAGGCCUUCUUGCGAAUAGUGAGAAGGAUUGACGGUACCGGAAUAGAAAGCCACGGCUAACUACGUG